CAGCUCCAGGUUUUCCUGUGACAAAAGCUCUGACAUGAGCAAAAAAAAAAAAUGAAGUCACUGCAGCUCAGCAAACGAGCGAUAAAAUGAUCUGCAGGGCAGCGUGGAAAAUCUCCCCGGACCUGGAAAUCUCCUGAGUCUGAGGCUGGAAGUGAAACCUGAAGCCAUGGCUGCAGAGAGGAGCUGCUCUCCGUCUGCGGACAGGAGUUGGAUGUUAAAGCAGUUUCAUUUUCAGGCUGUGUGGCCCGGUGGUUGUCUGGGCUGGGUACCUCUGGCUGGAGGCGCCGUCAGCAUCCUGAGGAGACGAGACCAGAAAGUCUCUGAGGGACGAGGCUGAAAAUGAAUAACAGAACUUCAGACCUCGGAGCAGAGCCUACAUAUUUUAAAUUAAAAUGAUUUACUUUCUUGA
Molecule: long non-coding RNA, 409 nt
Organism: Poecilia latipinna (sailfin molly)
Lineage: Eukaryota; Metazoa; Chordata; Actinopteri; Cyprinodontiformes; Poeciliidae
Exons: 2
Source: RefSeq, a predicted model, not a curated record